RNAcentral lists this long non-coding RNA (1139 nucleotides) under Fukomys damarensis (Damara mole-rat). Its description in RNAcentral is "lncRNA (ENSFDAG00000027688.1)". Lineage: Eukaryota; Metazoa; Chordata; Mammalia; Rodentia; Bathyergidae. The record is from RNAcentral.
AGGGAUUGAACUCUGGUCCUUGUGCUUGCAAAGCAGGCAGUGGAACCACUGAGCUAAAUCCCCGGCCCCAUAGCAUGUCUUCACUCUUUGCAGCCUCAAAAUUGCAAAAGUGGACUUUGAGAAGAGAGCUCCAGAGCACCAUGUUCCAGAAUGGAGGAGGCCUGAAGAAGAUGUUCCAAUGAACAAGCUCAAUAUCUCCAAGCAGGUGUGCACUUUUAUUGAACUGGUCUCUAAAGUCAGUGUACAGGUGCUGCAAGGUGGAGAGCGAGGCCAGGGUGGAGCCGCUGAUCCACACAGAGUACUUGCGCUCAGGGGGAGCGACGAUCUUGAUCUUCGUGGUGCUGGGUGCCAGGGCUGUGAUCUCCUUCUGCAUCCUGUCGGCGAUGCCUGGAGGGGCCAGGAAGACAAUGAAAAGAGAUAAUGUAACAUCUGUCCUCAUCUGGAUUUAAAUCUUUGGGAUAAAAAAUAAAAAAAGUGAGGAAGCCAAAUGCUGAUGGAAGUGAUUCCAUGACCCUCGAUGAGAUUCUAGAAGUGAUGGACUUAACCCUCACUGAGCACUGGGACUUUGGCCUAAAGAGAGCUGCUUUGCUUCCCAGGGGAAAAUGUGGUAAGAGUUAAAGGGAAGAUCACCCACACUGUGUUCGGACAGAAAGCAGCCCUUCUCAGAGGCCCACAGGACCAGCACAGAGAUCCUCACUUGACCUUCUUACCCUUGGUUUUCUAGACACUCGGAGACCACACCAGACACUGACUGACCUCGCUUUCUCAUCACAGUGUCAGCAGGGCCAGUGGCGAGGCUUCUGCUUCUCCAUCGGGUUGGAGAGAAGCACAGUAAGCAAAAGCAGGGGCUAUGCUGUGACGGCAACCAACAGCCCAACACACCCACGGUGAGAUCUCCCAGAACCAUUUCAGGGAUACUCUAAAAGGGGCUGGUUUCCUGCUGGGUCAGGUGGGCAGGGCCAUGGGAAGGGAGAGCAGAACCCAGAUGGCUGCAUUAGGGUAGUCAGGCUGGUAAGGCUUGCGUAUAGAUGUGCCUGGAAUCCAUUGCCAUUGUGCUUUUGGGAUAAUCACCCUGUAAAAUGCUUUCUUUUCUUCUAUUUAAGCCGCUAGCCUCUCCUUAGGCAGAAUUAUUUUCAAUG